This 29-nucleotide non-coding RNA is filed under the name Rattus norvegicus (Norway rat). Lineage: Eukaryota; Metazoa; Chordata; Mammalia; Rodentia; Muridae. The record is from RNAcentral.
UCCCAAUGGGGAUGGAUUUCCUUUCGGAC